RNAcentral lists this ribosomal RNA (309 nucleotides) under uncultured bacterium. RNAcentral's name for it is "partial 16S ribosomal RNA". It matches the Rfam family "Bacterial small subunit ribosomal RNA", at positions 504 to 808 of the family's 1533-position model. The record is from RNAcentral.
AGAGACAGCAGCCGCCGCGGUAAUACGUAGGUCCCGAGCGUUGUCCGGAUUUAUUGGGCGUAAAGCGAGCGCAGGCGGUUAGAUAAGUCUGAAGUUAAAGGCUGUGGCUUAACCAUAGUACGCUUUGGAAACUGUUUAACUUGAGUGCAAGAGGGGAGAGUGGAAUUCCAUGUGUAGCGGUGAAAUGCGUAGAUAUAUGGAGGAACACCGGUGGCGAAAGCGGCUCUCUGGCUUGUAACUGACGCUGAGGCUCGAAAGCGUGGGGAGCAAACAGGAUUAGAUACCCCCGUAGUCCCUGUCUCUUAUACC